This 413-nucleotide long non-coding RNA is filed under the name Glycine max (soybean). RNAcentral's name for it is "long non-coding RNA (GMAX_LNC002959)". The record is from RNAcentral. Lineage: Eukaryota; Viridiplantae; Streptophyta; Magnoliopsida; Fabales; Fabaceae.
AAAGUUCAAAGGAUUUUUUCCAAAACCAAUUCCUAUAGUUAAACCAAUUCCAAAGCCAAUUCCUAUUAUUAAACCUAUUCCAAUUCCAGUUUAUAAGCCUAUUCCAAAACCAAUUCCUAUUGUUAAGCCUAUUCCAAAGUCAAUUCCAGUUGCUAAGCCAAUUCCUAAUGAAGAAGAAAAAUUCAAAGGAUUUAUUCCAAAGCCAAUUCCUAUAAUUAAGCCUAUUCCAAAGAUAAUUCCUAUUGUUAAACCUAUUCCAAAGAUAAUUCCUAUUGUUAAACCUAUUCCUAUUCCAGUUUAUAAGCCUAAACCAAAACUAAUUCCUGUUGUUAAGCCAAUUCCUGUUAUUAAGCCUGUUCCAAAGAUAAUUCCCGUUGUUAAACCAAUUCCAAUUAUUAAACCUGUGCCAAAAC